GAUGAACGCUGGCGGCGCGCCUAACACAUGCAAGUCGAACGGUUAGAGCACCUUUUAGGUGUGUAUAAAGUGGCGAACGGCUGAGUAACACGUGGGCAACCUGCCCUCCUCUUGGGGAUAGCCUCGGGAAACCGAGGAUAAUACCCGAUACUUCAAUGUGGCCGCAUGACGACAUUGAGAAAGCUUUUGCGGAGAAGGAUGGGCCCGCGGCCUGUUAGCUUGUUGGUGGGGUAGAGGCCUACCAAGGCAAUGAUGGGUAGCUGGGUUGAGAGACCGACCAGCCAGAUUGGGACUGAGACACGGCCCAGACUCCUACGGGAGGCAGCAGUGGGGAAUCUUGCACAAUGGGCGAAAGCCUGAUGCAGCGACGCCGCGUGCGGGACGAAGGCCUUCGGGUUGUAAACCGCUUUCAGCAGGGACGAGGCGAUAAGUGACGGUACCUGCAGAAGAAGCCCCGGCUAACUACGUG
RNAcentral lists this ribosomal RNA (469 nucleotides) under uncultured bacterium. RNAcentral's name for it is "partial 16S ribosomal RNA". It matches the Rfam family "Bacterial small subunit ribosomal RNA", at positions 28 to 507 of the family's 1533-position model. The record is from RNAcentral.